This is a long non-coding RNA of Cercocebus atys (sooty mangabey), 644 nucleotides long. RefSeq lists it as uncharacterized. The transcript has 2 exons. NCBI's taxonomy places the organism in Eukaryota, Metazoa, Chordata, Mammalia, Primates, Cercopithecidae. The record is from RefSeq and is a predicted model, not a curated record.
GUGAUGCUCCUGCCUCAGCCUCCCAAGAAGCUGGGAUUGCAGCAGUUGGGGAGGAGAUGACUGCAUUGUGAAAAACCUCCAGACUGCCUGUCUGCACUGGCUGUUGAGAAGUAAAACGCUAAACUGUCUCUUAGGUAAAUCUCUGAAUCACGAAAAGGUUGUCAGUCCAGAACUGGAGGCACUCUGGCCUUCUGCAUGAACCUCUUACAAAUAUCAGGUUCCAUACAACCAGCACUUCUUCAAAGAUGAAUAACCAAAAGGAAUUCAUUAAGCUUGACUGCCACAAAUGUUUGGAAAUCAGAAAGGAAGAAAGAAACAGAAAAACGAAGGACAAAUGAAGAACAGUAACCUAAAAUAUUGCCAUAAAGAAGAUGAACAUUGUGACCAAACAUUUUGCCAUGAGUUUAGAAAGCUUAAUGAAGUAUUUACUUCAUUAGCAGCUCAAAGCAGUUGAUAUAAGAGGCCAGGGAAGAAAUAGAGUGAUUGCAUGAGAAAAUGCAAGGUAAGCUGAUUGAGUGGAAAGAAAAAUAAAUGAAAUUAGAAAAUAAAACCUUUACUGAAAUGAAGAUGAAAUUGAAAGGAUCACGUAGAUAAUAGAGAACUGUGGAAGAUACAAUAAGAGACAGAGUCUAGAAAUGGAAAAA